Long non-coding RNA from Sinocyclocheilus rhinocerous, 736 nucleotides. RefSeq lists it as uncharacterized. The transcript is spliced from 4 exons. The record is from RefSeq and is a predicted model, not a curated record. NCBI's taxonomy places the organism in Eukaryota, Metazoa, Chordata, Actinopteri, Cypriniformes, Cyprinidae.
AUCGAUGUAGAUGAAGGAAAUAAUUUUUAUGUGGCUCUCUACAUCACCCAGACUCAUGAUGGAGGCCUAACGUUGUGUGUUCAAGCCUAUCGCGACGUUUCGGACUCUGUGAUCCUUCCUCAGGCGAGCUCUGAACACUAAAUGGCUGGAAUUCUCUACAGCAGCCAUGACUCCAGUCACCACAGAGAGGCCCAGAGAGCAGGCACUGGCUUGGUUAGGGAUUACAGAUCCAAUAAUCAGAACAAAGUCCAAUUACGGUUUAUGCACGGUCCUUGGACCCAACUGGCCACCAAUCUGCAGCUUCCAGAGACCCAGAAAUAUUUUUUUGCUGAUGCAAAAAAUUCCCAAAGGGCCCAGAAGACUAGUGGCUAUCUCUCUUAGGUUUCCACGACCCAAGUGGUUGGUAAGUUUAGACUCAUGAUGGAGGCCUUACGUUGUGUGUUCAAGCCUAUCGCGACGUUUCGGACUCUGUGAUCCUUCCUCAGGCGAGCUCUGAACACUAAAUGGCUGGAAUUCUCUACAGCAGCCAUGACUCCAGUCACCACAGAGAGGCCCAGAGAGCAGGCACUGGCUUGGUUAGGGAUUACAGAUCCAAUAAUCAGAACAAAGUCCAAUUACGGUUUAUGCACGGUCCUUGGACCCAACUGGCCACCAAUCUGCAGCUUCCAGAGACCCAGAAAUAUUUUUUUGCUGAUGCAAAAAAUUCCCAAAGGGCCCAGAAGACUAGUGGCUAUCU